Molecule: transfer RNA, 75 nt
Filed under: Candidatus Bathyarchaeota archaeon
Lineage: Archaea; Thermoproteati; Candidatus Bathyarchaeota
Description: tRNA-Glu
Rfam family: tRNA
About the family: Transfer RNA (tRNA) molecules are approximately 80 nucleotides in length. Their secondary structure includes four short double-helical elements and three loops (D, anti-codon, and T loops). Further hydrogen bonds mediate the characteristic L-shaped molecular structure. tRNAs have two regions of fundamental functional importance: the anti-codon, which is responsible for specific mRNA codon recognition, and the 3' end, to which the tRNAs corresponding amino acid is attached (by aminoacyl-tRNA synthetases). tRNAs cope with the degeneracy of the genetic code in two manners: having more than one tRNA (with a specific anti-codon) for a particular amino acid; and 'wobble' base-pairing, i.e. permitting non-standard base-pairing at the 3rd anti-codon position.
Source: RNAcentral
GCUCCGGUAGUAUGGCCCGGGCCAGUAUUCCGGCCUUUCGAGCCGGAGACGCGGGUUCAAAUCCCGCCCGGAGCA